UGGGGAAUUUUGGACAAUGGGCGAAAGCCUGAUCCAGCAAUGCCGCGUGUGUGAAGAAGGCCUUCGGGUUGUAAAGCACUUUUGUCCGGAAAGAAAUCCUUGGCUCUAAUACAGUCGGGGGAUGACGGUACCGGAAGAAUAAGCACCGGCUAACUACGUGCCAGCAGCCGCGGUAAUACGUAGGGUGCAAGCGUUAAUCGGAAUUACUGGGCGUAAAGCGUGCGCAGGCGGUUUGCUAAGACCGAUGUGAAAUCCCCGGGCUCAACCUGGGGAACUGCAUUGGUGACUGGCAGGCUAGAGUAUGGCAGAGGGGGGUAGAAUUCCACGUGUAGCAGUGAAAUGCGUAGAGAUGUGGAGGAAUACCGAUGGCGAAGGCAGCCCCCUUGGGGCCAAUACUGACGCUCAUGCACGAAAGCGUGGGGAGCAAACAGGAUUAGAUACCCUGGUAGUCCACGCCCUAAACGAUGUCAACUAGUUGUUGGGGAUUCAUUUCCUUAGUAACGUAGCUAACGCGUGAAGUUGACCGCCUGGGGAGUACGGUCGCAAGAUUAAACUCAAAGGAAUUGACGGGGUCAUAGCUGUUUCCU
Molecule: ribosomal RNA, 587 nt
Filed under: uncultured bacterium
Lineage: Bacteria
Description: partial 16S ribosomal RNA
Rfam family: Bacterial small subunit ribosomal RNA
Source: RNAcentral